This 474-nucleotide ribosomal RNA is filed under the name uncultured bacterium. RNAcentral describes it as "bacterial SSU rRNA". It matches the Rfam family "Bacterial small subunit ribosomal RNA", at positions 24 to 518 of the family's 1533-position model. The record is from RNAcentral.
UCAGGACGAACGCUGGCGGCGUGCUUCAUACAUGCAAGUCGAACGAUAAGGUCUCUUCGGAGAUACAUAAGUGGCGGACGGGUGAGUAAUAUGUAGAGAAUCUGCCCUAGAGUGAGGGACAACAGAGGGAAACUUCUGCUAAUACCUCAUAUGCGCGUAGCUGAGAUGCUAUUCGUGAAAACUCCGGUGCUCUAGGAUGAGUCUGCAUCUGAUUAGCUAGUUGGGGGUGUAAUGGACCACCAAGGCGACGAUCAGUAGCUGGUUUGAGAGGAUGAUCAGCCACAAUGGGACUGAGACACGGCCCAUACUCCUACGGGAGGCAGCAGUAGGGAAUUUUGCGCAAUGGGGGAAACCCUGACGCCAGCAACGCCGCGUGAUUGAAUAAGCCCUUCGGGGUGUAAAGAUCUGUCAGUGGGGACGAAACUUGACGGUACCCACAGAGGAAGCAUCGGCUAACUCCGUGCCAGCCGCCGC